AUAACCAUCAUUCAUCAUCCUUUCCUUUCCUCUCUCUCUCUCUCUCUCUCUCAACUGCUUCUAAAUAUAACCAAACUCUUCUCUCUUCUCUCUUCUCUCCAUUAUUAUUUGCUCUUAAAUUCACUCCCAUCUGCCUUCUUCUUCUUUCCAUCUAAUCACUCACUCUUCUCUUCUAUGGCUCUCUCUUUUGCCCUUUCAAGAAGGAAGAAGAACAAGUAAGAAGAAGAAGACGAUGAUGAUGAUGCUCUUUCUUGAAGUCUCAAAGCGUGUUUUCAUGGGGGGUUUCUCAAAGGGUUUCCAACAGAAUUUAUUGGCAUUCUGUCCACCUCCUUCUCUAUAGAAACACACCCAUAAUUUAAGAGGGCUUUGGUUUUUGGAGGUGGGCAUACUGCCAAUUGAGCUCUGUUUGGAUCCUCUUUGUAACACCCUUCUUGAUAUCCUUACAUUUUUAACCUUUCAUUAUUAUUUCAUCUCCCUCCUCAGAUUCUAAACCAUCUGGAAAAUUGAUAGCUAGCAGGGGGAGAAUAUGAAGAAUUAUGAAUUUCAAAAUGGGUAAAAAGCAAUACCGAGUCGUGCAUCACUUCAAUUAUAAAGGAAAAUACAAUUAAUUUUUUUAAGAAGAAGAAAAGUUUUGAGGAAACUGUGACUGGACAUUUGAGUGGCGGCACAAAGAAAGGUGCAUCUGGGGAUUUUCUUAGGUAAAGUAACUUUUUUGUCUCAAAGUUUUGGGUUGAAUUUUCAUUUGUUUCUUAGGUUUCAAAAUGUUACAAUAUUAAUACUUAAGUUUCGAGUUUGGUUUCAACUUAGUUUUAGGUUUCAUAGUGUUAUAAUUUAGUUAUUAAGUUUCAAGAUUUAUACUUUUAACUUCAAUUUUUACUAAAUACUCAAUUUUAAUGUUUAGAGUUAAUAUUUAUUGAUUAAUCGAGGAGAAUCAUAAUUAAUUAAGUUUCACUAUUUUUUCAAACGAUAUUAAAAUUAAUUUAAAAUUUUUAUUUUAUGAUUAUUUUAAAUUAAUUAAUAGACAUUAAUGCUAAAAUUAAAGUGACUAUUUAGUAAAAAAUCGAUGUUAAAAAUAUAAAUCUUGAAAUUUAAGGAUUAAAUUGAAAAAAAAAAAAAAAAAUCACAACUCAAGACUGAAUUAAAGUCAAACCUAAAAUCUAAAAGGUUAUACGUGUAACACUUGGAGAGAAAUUAGUUCCAAAACCAUGUUGUUUUCUUUUGUUAUUUUAAUGACUUCUAAUUAUUUCUUAGGAGUAUUAUAAAUUGAAAAUGAUGUUAUUAAGCACAAUAAAUUAACAUGUAUCUUAAAUUAUUUUUGCAGUUGGAAAAAAAAAAAUAAUUAUGACUUCAAAAUUUAAGAAGCCUCACCAUUCAAAAUUAAAUUCUCCAAGAUGAUUAUGGAGUAGGUUUGAAAAGAUUAUAAACUUUCAUUUAAUGUUCUCGAGAGUAAAAGCUAAAUUUAAAAAUUAAAACAAGUAGUUUUCUAAUAUUUGCUUUUGUGUUUAGAAUUUGAUGAAUAAUUUAAGUGUUUCUUUAAUAAAAGUGAAAUUUAGAAUUGAAAAGUUGGGAAGAAACAAAUAUAAAUUUAAAAACUGAAAACCGAAAAUGUUAUAAAUUAGGGCUAGUAUGGUUAUCAAACGAAGACUAUUUUGUGUAUAUUAACAAGCAAGAAGAUGCAACAAAGGCUACAUUAGCCACUGCCACAUUGGAAGAUGUUACUACCACAUCAAAUUCAAAAAGCUUAGACAACUCAAGGCCACACCAACUUGGCAAAUAACUCAACAUUUGAAUUUUGUGCAGUUCUGAAUUUCUUAAUAUUACCACUCUUCAGCUGUCCUAAAUUAAAUUACUAUAGAAACCAAUAUAGAAAUAAUUUUCAAAUAUUUGGAGAGUGGGUUUGGGAUGAUCUUUGCCACCAAAUAUUUAGGGGACGUUCGGGACAAGAGUUAUCAUUAAAAUAUAAUAAUCACCUCUUGCUAUGAUAAAAACUAUUUCAAAACCUCUCAUUAGCUACCGUCAACACUAUUUCAAAACCCCAAUUUGUUACCGUAUUUACUAUUUAUUACCGUUUUUACUAUUUUACCUUCAUCAUUUUUUUUUCUAUUAUUUGCUAUGGUAUUUACUAUUUUCUUCUCAAACUAAAAUAGUUUACACAUCAAAUACAUAACUAAAGUAAUCUACACCCCAAAUGUAAACUAUCGUAACCCAACUAUAAUAAUCUAGGAUUAUAAUAAUUAACUCAUUGUCCAAAACGCCUUCGUAAAUAUGAUUUUGAUACUAUCUGAUUGUGAAUCACAAAUCAAAUUCACAGCUUGAUAAUUGGUUAAAUGGGGAUGGCAUAGCUACGAGGCAUGCAAUUUGAUAUUAUAUUGUAAUGAACAUCUUCAUACCCUCAUCGAUUAAGAAUGGCAAAUACAAAGGGCGAUUUGUUAUGGGCUUUGAGGUAUUCACCCAAGCCAACCAUUAACUUCAUUUGCCUAUUCACGUACUGGCGAAUUGAGAUUUGGAUGGAGAGCUUCCACAAGGAUCUUGACCAAGUUUAUGAUAGACUUCUAAGUCUUGGCCAACAUAUGAUCAUAUCAAAGUAAAAAUACUUGAUUGCAUUCUAAAUACUAUAUUUAUCUUUGCACAUUUUGUUUAAUUGUUAGAACAAUAUUUUGUCACACGACAAAUUCUUACUUCUUUAUGUGUGAUUAGAAUAAAAUGCAUAUGCUUCCAUUAUUUCUCUGUUUCUACUUAAUUUUGUUACUUUCAUUGUCUGAGAAAACAUAUUGGUAUUCUGGACUCUAGACGAUAGAGAAAAUAAUCCGAUCCUUGAUUAUCUUUCCAUCGAAUAAAGUGAUACGUGUUGGGUUUUUUUUUUUUUUCC
Benincasa hispida (wax gourd) is the source of this 2869-nucleotide non-coding RNA. Lineage: Eukaryota; Viridiplantae; Streptophyta; Magnoliopsida; Cucurbitales; Cucurbitaceae. The record is from RefSeq and is a predicted model, not a curated record.